Molecule: ribosomal RNA, 533 nt
Filed under: uncultured bacterium
Lineage: Bacteria
Description: partial 16S ribosomal RNA
Rfam family: Bacterial small subunit ribosomal RNA
Source: RNAcentral
UGGGGAAUAUUGCACAAUGGGCGAAAGCCUGAUGCAGCAACGCCGCGUGAGUGAUGAAGGUCUUCGGAUUGUAAAGCUCUGUCUUUUGGGACGAUAAUGACGGUACCAAAGGAGGAAGCCACGGCUAACUACGUGCCAGCAGCCGCGGUAAUACGUAGGUGGCGAGCGUUGUCCGGAUUUACUGGGCGUAAAGGGUGCGUAGGCGGAUGUUUAAGUGAGAUGUGAAAUACCCGGGCUUAACUUGGGUGCUGCAUUUCAAACUGGAUAUCUAGAGUGCAGGAGAGGAGAAUGGAAUUCCUAGUGUAGCGGUGAAAUGCGUAGAGAUUAGGAAGAACACCAGUGGCGAAGGCGAUUCUCUGGACUGUAACUGACGCUGAGGCACGAAAGCGUGGGUAGCAAACAGGAUUAGAUACCCUGGUAGUCCACGCCGUAAACGAUGAGUACUAGGUGUAGGAGGUAUCGACCCCUUCUGUGCCGCAGUAAACACAUUAAGUACUCCGCCUGGGAAGUACGAUCACAAGAUUAAAAACUCU